UACGGAGGGGGCUAGCGUUGUUCGGAAUUACUGGGCGUAAAGCGCACGUAGGCGGCUUUGUAAGUUAGAGGUGAAAGCCCAGGGCUUAACCCUGGAAUUGCCUUUAAGACUGCAUCGCUAGAAUUGUGGAGAGGUGAGUGGAAUUCCGAGUGUAGAGGUGAAAUUCGUAGAUAUUCGGAAGAACACCAGUGGCGAAGGCGACUUACUGGACACAUAUUGACGCUGAGGUGCGAAAGCGUGGGGAGCAAACAGG
This 253-nucleotide ribosomal RNA is filed under the name uncultured bacterium. Its description in RNAcentral is "partial 16S ribosomal RNA". It matches the Rfam family "Bacterial small subunit ribosomal RNA", at positions 524 to 776 of the family's 1533-position model. The record is from RNAcentral.